GAUGAACGCUAGCUACAGGCUUAACACAUGCAAGUCGAGGGACCGGCGCCCGGGUGCGUAACACGUCUCCAACAUGCCCUUUACUCGGGGAUAGCCUUUCGAAAGAAAGAUUAAUACCCGAUAUAAAGGAUGGGGAUGCGUUCCAUUAGGUUGUUGGUGAGGUAACGGCUCACCAAGCCUUCGAUGGAUAGGGGUUCUGAGAGGAAGGUCCCCCACAUUGGAACGGAGACACGGUCCAAACUCCUACGGGAGGCAGGAGUGAGGAAUAUUGUUCAAGGGGCGCUAGCCUGAAACAGCCAAGUAGCGUGAAGGAUGAAGGCUUAUGGGUCGUAAACUUCUUUUAUAUAAGAAUAUGUAUUAGAUGAAUAAGGAUCGGCUAACACCGUGCCAGCAGCCGCGGUAAUAC
RNAcentral lists this ribosomal RNA (406 nucleotides) under uncultured bacterium. RNAcentral's name for it is "partial 16S ribosomal RNA". It matches the Rfam family "Bacterial small subunit ribosomal RNA", at positions 28 to 526 of the family's 1533-position model. The record is from RNAcentral.